AUUGAACGCUGGCGGCAGGCCUAACACAUGCAAGUCGAACGAGUGGCGGACGGGUGAGUAAUGUCUGGGGAACUGCCCGAUGGAGGGGGAUAACUACUGGAAACGGUAGCUAAUACCGCAUACCAUCAGAUGUGCCCAUAUGGGAUUAGCUUGUAGGGGGGGUAACGGCUCACCAAGGCGACGAUCCCUAGCUGGUCUGAGCGGAUGACCAGCCACACUGGAACUGAGACACGGUCCAGACUCCUACGGGAGGCAGCAGUGGGGAAUAUUGCACAAUGGGCGCAAGCCUGAUGCAGCCAUGCCGCGUGUAUGAAGAAGGCCUUCGGGUUGUAAAGUACUUUCAGCGGGGAGGCGUUACCCGCAGAAGAAGCACCGGCUAACUCCGUGCCAGCAGCCGCGUUAAUAC
Molecule: ribosomal RNA, 406 nt
Filed under: uncultured bacterium
Lineage: Bacteria
Description: partial 16S ribosomal RNA
Rfam family: Bacterial small subunit ribosomal RNA
Source: RNAcentral